This 409-nucleotide ribosomal RNA is filed under the name Bacillota bacterium. Its description in RNAcentral is "Firmicutes bacterium partial 16S ribosomal RNA". It matches the Rfam family "Bacterial small subunit ribosomal RNA", at positions 355 to 776 of the family's 1533-position model. The record is from RNAcentral. Lineage: Bacteria; Bacillati; Bacillota.
UGGGGAAUAUUGGACAAUGGGCGGAAGCCUGAUCCAGCAACGCCGCGUGAGGGAUGACGGCCUUCGGGUUGUAAACCUCUUUCAGCACAGACGCAGCGAAAGGGACGGUAUGUGCAGAAGAAGCACCGGCCAACUACGUGCCAGCAGCCGCGGUAAUACGUAGGGUGCGAGCGUUGUCCGGAAUUAUUGGGCGUAAAGGGCUCGUAGGCGGUUUGUCGCGUCGGGAGUGAAAACACACAGCUGAACUGUGUACUGGCUUCCGAUACGGGCAGACUAGAAGUAUGCAGGGGAGAACGGAAUUCCUUGUGUAGCGGUGAAAUGCGCAGAUAUCAGGAGGAACGCCGGUGGCGAAGGCGGUUCUCUGGGCAUUACCUGACGCUGAGGAGCGAAAGUGUGGGGAGCGAACAGG